UUGUGGCUAAAAGAAAAGAUUGUAUUAAGAGUCAAAUUUAAUAGAUUUAUGUAACAUAUAAUAUUAUAUCAUUAGAUCAUUAAACAAGGAUAAUCAAUUUAUUGUUAGACUUAGAAGAUAGUGCCAUAAUUGAUAGAAUAGAAGGUAAGGUAAAAAUACUUAAAGGAGAAGAGAAGAAACACGAAGAACUAAAGAGAACUUUUAGAUCCCAGAGAAGAGGAAGCAAAAAAACUCUAAAA
Molecule: long non-coding RNA, 239 nt
Filed under: Elaeis guineensis (African oil palm)
Lineage: Eukaryota; Viridiplantae; Streptophyta; Magnoliopsida; Arecales; Arecaceae
Description: long non-coding RNA (EGUI_LNC027318)
Source: RNAcentral